This 501-nucleotide ribosomal RNA is filed under the name uncultured bacterium. RNAcentral's name for it is "bacterial SSU rRNA". It matches the Rfam family "Bacterial small subunit ribosomal RNA", at positions 28 to 576 of the family's 1533-position model. The record is from RNAcentral.
AACGAACGCUGGCGGCAGGCCUAAUACAUGCAAGUCGAACGAAGCCUUCGGGCUUAGUGGCGCACGGGUGCGUAACGCGUGGGAACGUACCCCUGGGUGCGGAACAACGUCGGGAAACUGACGCUAAUACCGCAUAAUGACUCCGGUCCAAAGAUUUAUCGCCCAGGGAUCGGCCCGCGUUAGAUUAGCUAGUUGGUGGGGUAAUGGCCUACCAAGGCUACGAUCUAUAGCUGGUCUGAGAGGAUGAUCAGCCACACUGGGACUGAGACACGGCCCAGACUCCUACGGGAGGCAGCAGUAAGGAAUAUUGGACAAUGGAGGAAACUCUGAUCCAGCCAUGCCGCGUGAGUGAUGAAGGCCUUCGGGUUGUAAAGCUCUUUCAGGCGCGACGAUGAUGACGGUAACACCAGAAGAAGCCCCGCCUAACUUCGUGCCAGCAGCCGCGGUAAUACGAAGGGGCGAGCGUUGUUCGGAAUCACUGGGCUUAAAGCGUGCGUAGGC